RNAcentral lists this long non-coding RNA (224 nucleotides) under Manihot esculenta (cassava). RNAcentral's name for it is "long non-coding RNA (MESC_LNC012292)". Lineage: Eukaryota; Viridiplantae; Streptophyta; Magnoliopsida; Malpighiales; Euphorbiaceae. The record is from RNAcentral.
UACAACAUUAGGUCUAACUAUAACAUGCAUCUUUAACCCUUAACCCUUUUUAAAACUUACUUAAAACAUAGGAAAAGACAAGGAUCUACACUUACCUCUUGACGAUCUAAGGUAGAUGCGACCCAAACUUGUGGUUGAGGAGAAACGGUCUCCCAAACUUUAAAAUCUUUGAUCCAAGCUCAAAACUUCAAAAACAAGCGAAGACUCAUGAAAAUUUGAAGGAA